RNAcentral lists this ribosomal RNA (253 nucleotides) under uncultured bacterium. RNAcentral's name for it is "partial 16S ribosomal RNA". It matches the Rfam family "Bacterial small subunit ribosomal RNA", at positions 524 to 776 of the family's 1533-position model. The record is from RNAcentral.
GACGAACCGUGCGAACGUUGUUCGGAAUCACUGGGCAUAAAGGGCGCGUAGGCGGGCCGUAAAGUCAGGGGUGAAAUCCUCCAGCUUAACUGGAGAACUGCCUUUGAUACUGACGGCCUCGAGUGAGGUAGGGGCGUGCGGAACUGAUGGUGGAGCGGUGAAAUGUGUUGAUAUCAUCAGGAACUCCGGUGGCGAAAGCGGCACGCUGGACCUCUACUGACGCUGAGGCGCGAAAGCCAGGGGAGCGAACGGG